Molecule: long non-coding RNA, 769 nt
Organism: Drosophila persimilis
Lineage: Eukaryota; Metazoa; Arthropoda; Insecta; Diptera; Drosophilidae
Exons: 3
Source: RefSeq, a predicted model, not a curated record
UAAGCCUUGUUUGAUACACAGUACAAUAAAAUGGAGUACUUAAAACCGGACAACCAGACGUAGCAAUCGAUCCCGGAGCUCAAUGCCAGGCCCUUCCGCUGCAAGGUAUGCCCCGAGGAUUUCCAAUACAAUCCUUGCUUAACCAGCAAGUUAUAAAUCACCUGGGUGCGAUUUUUCAGGAUUUGCAACAAUGAAGAUCCCACUCUUCAGCGGAGAACUAAAGGUGCACAGGCGACCGCACAAGGAUAUAUCCAAGGCACUUCCAAAGAGACUUGCAAAGACUCAGCUGAUUAACGAGCGUGCUAAGUCGAUCUACUUUAAGCUAAAGCAAAGCGAAAAAUCAAUGCAAUAGAAUAUCAGCAGGAACGUUAGUUAUACUUUAUAUGUACUUGCAUAGCUUUAUUUAUACGUAAUUCUACGAAAGUAGCAGAAUUGGUAUCGCAUACUAUCUCCCUCUCUCUCUCUCUCUCUCUUAUCAUAUAUUAUCCGUUUUCAUCUUUCCUGUUUUUUGUGCGAUAUAUCUGUUUUCUCUCUUUCACUUCUCAAACACAGCUAAUAUGUGCUGCUGUCUCGCUCCGCUCCGAUAGCGGUGCACACUGCACGAGAAAGAGUGAGAGAGAAGGAGUAAGCGCGUGGAAAGGGUAGCAUAGCCAAUGCACAUAGCCUUCUGUCUUAGUGAACCGAUCUAAUCCACAUUCGUCAAUCUGCUAGAUAUGGUAACUUUCCUAAUAUUCAUAAAGCUGCCUAGCUGAUUGAUUUAAAUCAAAAA